UACGUAGGUGGCAAGCGUUGUCCGGAUUUACUGGGCGUAAAGGGCGUGCAGGCGGUCUGUUAAGUGCAGGGUGAAAGCUCCCGGCUCAACUGGGAGAGGUCCUUGCAUACUGGCGGACUUGAGGGGGGUAGAGGAAAGUGGAAUUCCCGGUGUAGUGGUGAUAUGCGUAGAUAUCGGGAGGAACACCUGUGGCGAAGGCGGCUUUCUGGGCCCUACCUGACGCUGAGACGGCGAAAAGCG
RNAcentral lists this ribosomal RNA (240 nucleotides) under uncultured bacterium. Its description in RNAcentral is "partial 16S ribosomal RNA". It matches the Rfam family "Bacterial small subunit ribosomal RNA", at positions 524 to 762 of the family's 1533-position model. The record is from RNAcentral.